This 1392-nucleotide small RNA is filed under the name Caenorhabditis elegans. RNAcentral describes it as "Unclassified non-coding RNA Y43F8C.29". The record is from RNAcentral. Lineage: Eukaryota; Metazoa; Nematoda; Chromadorea; Rhabditida; Rhabditidae.
GAAAUAAACCUGCGAGCGACCUCAUACUCAACACAAACUCCAAAAAUUAGAUGCUUUCCUCGUUUUGUGGCGACGGCCAUCCGGUAUUGAUUUUUUUUUGUUUGAAAAUUGGAAUUUGAAAAAUGGCAAAAAAAAAAUCAGAAAGUUUUUUUUUUGAAAAAAAUUUUUCCGAAAAAAAAAAUAAAAAUUUGCGCUUUUUUUGAGGAAUUUUCAUGGAAUUUAUCGAUUUGCUAAAAAAAACAAAAAAAAUCACUAAAAAUAUUGUAAAAAUAUUCCAGAAAUCCAGAAAAAAGGCCAAAUAGUAUACAAAAUAUAAUAAUUUUUCGAAAAACUUCAAAAAUUUCACCAAAAAAAAAUCUGAAAACAAUUAGAUAAAAGUCACAAAAAAUUAGCCUGUUUUUGAUAAAUCACAAAAAUUUUCCAAAAAAAAAUUAACAAAAAAUUACGAUUUUCUGGUUAAAAAAAUCCAAAAAAUAGCUAGAAAUUUAUUUCAAAAUGAAAUUCUUUUUUUCAAUAUUCCAAUUUUUUGAAAAAAAUAUUUCAGAAAAAAUUAGAAGAAUUUCCAAAAAAAUCCAAACUUUUUCAAGAAAAAAAUUCCAAAAAAAUUACGAUUUUCUCGCGAAAAAUCCUUUAAAAAAUCACAAAAAUACAUUUAAAAUUUACAAAAAAAUCACUACGUUUUCGAAAAAAAACUCACAAUUUUAGAAUAAAAAAUUUAAAAAAAAAUUUUUUCUGGUAAUAAAAUCCAAAAAAAAAUCAAAAAAAAAUUCUGAAAAAGCCAUAAAAAAUUCAAAAAUUUUCCAAAAAAAUUGUAUUAAUUUUAGAAAAAAAUCACAAAAAUUUUCCAAAAUAAUUAACAAAAAUUAAAAAUAAAACCAAUAAAAUUACGAUUUUCUGGUUUUAAAAAAAUCCAAAAAAAAAAAACAAAUAAAAAAAAUUUCAGAAAAAAAUCACAAAACUUUCCAAAAGAAAUUUUUUUUUUAAUUAAAAAAAUUUUUCGAAAAAAUCACAAAGCAAAAUUAGAAAAAUCAUUUAAAAAAAAAAAUUACGAUUUUCUGGUGAAAAAAUCCAAAAAAAAAUCGUAAAAAAUUCAAUUUUUUUUUGCAGUUCUCAACGGGUCUACCGAACGUCUCAAUAUGUGCUCAACACACGGUGCUCGUCUGGGUUCCAGCCGCAUUCUUCCUGCUCACUUUACCAUUUCUAAGUGCUCAGUGUCAUUUGACGGCUCAACGAUUCGCGAGGCUUCCGUUCAGUGCUCAUUUCAUUAUUAAGCUUCUUCUUGUCGCUUUUCUCGCUGCCAACUCACUUGCCACGUGGUGUUAUGUGUUAUUCUCGAAGAAUUCAUACGCUGCUGCGUAUUAUGUUUAUCCAGGACUAUGGGUUCUUGUUUGG